CAGCAGCCGCGGUAAUACGUAGGUGGCAAGCGUUAUCCGGAAUUAUUGGGCGUAAAGCGCGCGUAGGCGGUUUUUUAAGUCUGAUGUGAAAGCCCACGGCUCAACCGUGGAGGGUCAUUGGAAACUGGAAAACUUGAGUGCAGAAGAGGAAAGUGGAAUUCCAUGUGUAGCGGUGAAAUGCGCAGAGAUAUGGAGGAACACCAGUGGCGAAGGCGACUCUCUGGUCUGUAACUGACGCCGAGGAGCGAAAGCGUGGGGAGCGAACAGGAUUAGAUACCCGUGUAGUCCCUGUCUCUUAUAC
Molecule: ribosomal RNA, 301 nt
Filed under: uncultured bacterium
Lineage: Bacteria
Description: partial 16S ribosomal RNA
Rfam family: Bacterial small subunit ribosomal RNA
Source: RNAcentral